GCCAGACUCCUACGGGAGGCAGCAGUCGGGAAUAUUGCGCAAUGGCGGAAACUCUGACGCAGUGACGCCGCGUAUAGGAAGAAGGUUUUCGGAUUGUAAACUAUUGUCGUUAGGGAAGAUACAAGACAGUACCUAAGGAGGAAGCCCCGGCUAACUAUGUGCCAGCAGCCGCGGUAAUACAUAGGGGGCAAGCGUUAUCCGGAUUUACUGGGUGUAAAGGGAGCGCAGGCGGCACGGCAAGCCUGAUGUGAAAGCCCGCGGCCCAACCGCGGGACUGCAUUGGGAACUACCGGGCUGGAGUGCCGGAGAGGUAGGCGGAAUUCCUAGUGUAGCGGUGAAAUGCGUAGAUAUUAGGAGGAACACCAGUGGCGAAGGCGGCCUACCGGACUGCGACUGACGUUGAGGCCCGAAAGCGUGGGGAGCAAACAGGAUUAGAUACCCUGGUAU
RNAcentral lists this ribosomal RNA (447 nucleotides) under uncultured bacterium. Its description in RNAcentral is "bacterial SSU rRNA". It matches the Rfam family "Bacterial small subunit ribosomal RNA", at positions 330 to 793 of the family's 1533-position model. The record is from RNAcentral.